This 92-nucleotide non-coding RNA is filed under the name Citrullus lanatus (watermelon). The record is from RNAcentral. Lineage: Eukaryota; Viridiplantae; Streptophyta; Magnoliopsida; Cucurbitales; Cucurbitaceae.
CCAUUGAUACUUUUGUUGUUGGUCAUCUCACCAUCCAAAUUUCAUCCAUUAAAGCCAUUUGGUUAGAUGACCAUCAACGAACGUUUCCAUGG